CCUACGGGAGGCAGCAGUGAGGAAUAUUGGUCAAUGGACGAGAGUCUGAACCAGCCAAGUAGCGUGAAGGAUGACUGCCCUAUGGGUUGUAAACUUCUUUUAUAAAGGAAUAAAACGAGGCACGUGUGCCUUUUUGCAUGUACUUUAUGAAUAAGGAUCGGCUAACUCCGUGCCAGCAGCCGCGGUAAUACGGGGGAUCCGAGCGUUAUCCGAAUUUAUUGGGUUUAAAGGGAGCGUAGAUGGGUUGUUAAGUCAGUUGUGAAAGUUUGCGGCUCAACCGUAAAAUUGCAAUUGAUACUGGCAGUCGUGAGUACAGUUGAGGUAGGCGGAAUUCGUGGUGUAGCGGUGAAAUGCUUAGAUAUCACGAAGAACCCCGAUUGCGAAGGCAGCUUACUAAACUGUGACUGACAUUGAUGCUCGAAAGUGUGGGUAUCAAACAGGAUUAGAUACCCCAGUAGUC
Molecule: ribosomal RNA, 460 nt
Filed under: uncultured bacterium
Lineage: Bacteria
Description: partial 16S ribosomal RNA
Rfam family: Bacterial small subunit ribosomal RNA
Source: RNAcentral